AACGAACGCUGGCGGCAUGCCUAAUACAUGCAAGUCGAACGAGAACUUCGGAUCUAGUGGCGCACGGGUGCGUAACGCGGGGGAAUCUGCCCUUGGGUUCGGAAUAACUUCUGGAAACGGAAGCUAAUACCGGAUGAUGACGUAAGUCCAAAGAUUUAUCGCCCCAGGAUGAGGCCGCGUAGGAUUAGGUAGUUGGUGAGGUAAAGGCUAACCAAGCCGACGAUCCUUAGCUGGUCUGAGAGGAUGAUCAGCCACGCUGGGACUGAGACACGGCCCAGACUCCUACGGGAGGGAGCGGUAGGGAAUAUUGGGCGAGGGGCGAAGGCCUGGUCCAGCAAUGCCGGGUGAGUGGUGAAGGCCGUAGGGUUGUAAAGCUCUUUUAGCCGGGGUGAUAGUGACGGUACCGGGAGAAUAAGCACCGGCUAACUCCGUG
This 433-nucleotide ribosomal RNA is filed under the name uncultured bacterium. Its description in RNAcentral is "partial 16S ribosomal RNA". It matches the Rfam family "Bacterial small subunit ribosomal RNA", at positions 29 to 507 of the family's 1533-position model. The record is from RNAcentral.